CCCUAUGGGGUGCACCACUGAAGGGCCUUGAGGUUGAGAUCGUACCAGUCGGUAAAGGAUCGGCCCGCCAGGAAGUUUCCUUGUGCGUAGGCAAAAAUUGAUGGUUUCGUAAAAACCCAAAAACACAUAACAUGAUGGAAUUAUUUUAAAUUAAGUAUUUUUCUCUUUUAUUAAAAGCGGGUUUAUGGUAGUAUUAUUCCGUCAUUUUAAAUAGUUAUCAGGAGUUGUGAUGAUACGAAUCAAAGACCACAAAACCCGCUACAUGUUCAACCCCUUUAGCGUUCUCGGGGAAAAGCGAAAAAAAUUAGUGGAAGACUCCUGGGCGGGAGUUUUCCGUGAUCAUAUCCGGCCAAUUCUUCCCGUGCAUCUGGUGGCCGAACAUUUCAGUGAAGAGAAGGGACGCCCGACCAAUGAAUUGGCGGGGGGGC
This 428-nucleotide ribosomal RNA is filed under the name uncultured prokaryote. RNAcentral describes it as "partial 16S ribosomal RNA". The record is from RNAcentral.